ACGGGGUGAAAAGCAGGGGACCGCAAGGCCUUGCGUCGAUGGAGCGGCCGAUGCCGGAUUAGCUAGUUGGUGGUAAGGAACGCUACCAAGGCGACGAUCCGUAGCUGGUCUGGGAGGACGACCAGCCCACACUGGGACUGAGACACGGCCCAGACUCCUACGGGAGGCAGCAGUGGGGAAUCUUGGACAAUGGGCGCAAGCCUGAUCCAGCAAUGCCGCGUGUGGGAAGAAGGCCUUCGGGUUGUAAACCACUUUUGGCAGGAAAGAAAUCGUCCGUGCUAAUACCAUGGAUGGAUGACGGUACCUGCAGAAUAAGCACCGGCUAACUACGUG
Molecule: ribosomal RNA, 333 nt
Filed under: uncultured bacterium
Lineage: Bacteria
Description: bacterial SSU rRNA
Rfam family: Bacterial small subunit ribosomal RNA
Source: RNAcentral